This 698-nucleotide long non-coding RNA is filed under the name Eucalyptus grandis. Its description in RNAcentral is "long non-coding RNA (EGRA_LNC003607)". The record is from RNAcentral. Lineage: Eukaryota; Viridiplantae; Streptophyta; Magnoliopsida; Myrtales; Myrtaceae.
UAAAGACUACAAUUGAACAAAUUAUAUUACUUUUUGAGUUUUGGCAAGCGUUUGCCCUCAUUACAUAUUGGAAAACAUAUUACAGACUUUGAUUCUUCCAUGCUGAUGGAACCGGAAUAGAUCCCCUUAUCCAUUAAUAUACUAUUUGAUUUGCACGAAGACACUGCUAUGAAGACACUGCAGACGCAUUUUCUAACAUACGGCGCACAUAAACCACCUCACGACAAGGGAAGCCUUGCAUGUAUGUAAGCUUUCCACCUUAUUGUCAAAAGACAGAAACGGCGAAUGAGCUCUCUUACUUGUUAUCCAACGGUUUGCCCUUGGUGUUCACUUCCAAGUUGGAACAGCACGCGAGCAAGCGAAACUUGUUCCGCAACCCCAAAACAACCUUCUCCUUCUCAUCAACUUGAGAGAAAGCACUCACCACCGGCAAGCCGUCGACGGCCAAUCCCUCCGCCUUCCCUUCCUGUCCGUCCUCUUGGACCGCCUAGCCGACCUCCAUGUUGGAGCAGCAGAGCCAGAUGCAGCCCUUGCGCUUCCUCCUCAUCCUCUUUCUGGUCGACUUCUUGGCAUCCUUCGCAUCGGUGAGCUCGUAGCCCUUUUCGCCGAUCCCCAUUUGGCUAUGUGCUCUCUGUUGUGCGCAAGAGAUGAGAUAAAUGCUUAUUUAUGAAGUCGGAGGAGCAGAUGAGAAGGAAGAG